UGGAUGCUAUACUGCAGUCGAACGCACAGCGAAAGGUGCUUGCACCUUUCAAGUGAGUGGCGAACGGGUGAGUAACACGUGGACAACCUGCCUCAAGGCUGGGGAUAACAUUUGGAAACAGAUGCUAAUACCGAAUAAAACUUAGUGUCGCAUGACACAAAGUUAAAAGGCGCUUCGGCGUCACCUAGAGAUGGAUCCGCGGUGCAUUAGUUAGUUGGUGGGGUAAAGGCCUACCAAGACAAUGAUGCAUAGCCGAGUUGAGAGACUGAUCGGCCACAUUGGGACUGAGACACGGCCCAAACUCCUACGGGAGGCUGCAGUAGGGAAUCUUCCACAAUGGGCGAAAGCCUGAUGGAGCAACGCCGCGUGUGUGAUGAAGGCUUUCGGGUCGUAAAGCACUGUUGUAUGGGAAGAACAGCUAGAAUAGGAAAUGAUUUUAGUUUGACGGUACCAUACCAGAAAGGGACGGCUAAAUACGUGCCAGCAGCCGCGGUAAUACGUAUGUCCCGAGCGUUAUCCGGAUUUAUUGGGCGUAAAGCGAGCGCAGACGGUUUAUUAAGUCUGAUGUGAAAGCCCGGAGCUCAACUCCGGAAUGGCAUUGGAAACUGGUUAACUUGAGUGCAGUAGAGGUAAGUGGAACUCCAUGUGUAGCGGUGGAAUGCGUAGAUAUAUGGAAGAACACCAGUGGCGAAGGCGGCUUACUGGACUGCAACUGACGUUGAGGCUCGAAAGUGUGGGUAGCAAACAGGAUUAGAUACCCUGGUAGUCCACACCGUAAACGAUGAACACUAGGUGUUAGGAGGUUUCCGCCUCUUAGUGCCGAAGCUAACGCAUUAAGUGUUCCGCCUGGGGAGUACGACCGCAGGUUGAAACUCAAAGGAAUUGACGGGGACCCGCACAAGCGGUGGAGCAUGUGGUUUAAUUCGAAGCAACGCGAAGAACCUUACCAGGUCUUGACAUCCUUUGAAGCUUUUAAAAUAGAAAUGUUUCUCUUCGGAGA
This 1000-nucleotide ribosomal RNA is filed under the name Leuconostoc mesenteroides. RNAcentral's name for it is "bacterial SSU rRNA". It matches the Rfam family "Bacterial small subunit ribosomal RNA", at positions 45 to 1026 of the family's 1533-position model. The record is from RNAcentral. Lineage: Bacteria; Bacillati; Bacillota; Bacilli; Lactobacillales; Lactobacillaceae.